Molecule: long non-coding RNA, 627 nt
Organism: Pseudoliparis swirei
Lineage: Eukaryota; Metazoa; Chordata; Actinopteri; Perciformes; Liparidae
Exons: 4
Source: RefSeq, a predicted model, not a curated record
GUGCCCACUGUGCUGCUACCAAAUUCUGCAGAGAUUCAACAUGCUCACAGAUGCAUAUCCCCUGCUUGGACUUGCAUACAAGUUCUUGCUGACACUGUCAGUAACCCAGGUGGCCUGUGAGCGAUCAUUCUCAACACUGAAGUACAUAAAAAGCAGACUGAGGAGCAGCCUGUCUUCCAGCAAACUGGAAGCCUUCAUGUUGAUGGCCACUGAGAAAGAUGUCCUUGUGGCUUUGGACACAGACACUGUCAUUGACAAAGUGGCAGAGAAGAGUGAGCUAAUGAGGAAACUGCUGUUGUACUAAGUUCCCCACCUCUCUAAGAAUGCCCUGUAUGGUUCAUUGUCCAUUGUUGAUGAGAGUAUAUGCAGAGGGCCUUGCAGCCUUUUCCACUAAGAGACGGCAUUAUUGUUAGUUUGUUGAAGUGACUGUUUUCCAGAUAUGCUGCUAUCUCUUGUUCUACGGAAAGGAAAAGGCUGCCGUCAUUUGUUUGAAGAGAAGAAAUUUCACUGGAGUGGACUUCACACUUUCUUUUUUGUUUAGCAGUGAGUUUACAGUAUGCUGUAUUUAUUACUAGUACUAAAUUAUUUGAAUUUAUUAUUUAAUAUAAUAAAACAUUUGAAAUUAUU